UACGUAGGUGGCAAGCGUUGUCCGGAUUUACUGGGCGUAAAGAGCGCGCAGGCGGUUGAUUAAGUCGAAUGUGAAAGCCCCCGGCUCAACUGGGGAGGGUCAUUCGAUACUGAUCAACUUGAAGGCAGGAGAGAGAAGUGGAAUUCCCGGUGUAGUGGUGAAAUGCGUAGAUAUCGGGAGGAACACCAGUGGCGAAGGCGACUGCUUGGCCUGUUCUUGACGCUGAGGCGCGAAAGCUGGGGGAGCAAACGGG
Molecule: ribosomal RNA, 253 nt
Filed under: uncultured bacterium
Lineage: Bacteria
Description: partial 16S ribosomal RNA
Rfam family: Bacterial small subunit ribosomal RNA
Source: RNAcentral